GGGGGGAACGGGGCGGUCAGUGAGGGGGGAAUGGCGCGGCCUGUGGGCACGGCAGGGCGGGGGAGCGCUCCACGGGCACGGCGGUACGCUCCCAGCCCGCCGACAGGGUCUGACCCAGCUCGCGGCCUCCGCCGCUGCUCGCUACGUGUGAAUUGCAGACUUGUCCUGCCCAGCGUGCCAGAAAGCUCCGGACCUUUGCGUUUCCUUCCCUUACAGCACAGCACUCUGGAAGCGGGAGAUAAUUUUGUCAGAAGCAACCCAAAUCUACACAGGGCCCAUCCUGCAGCAAACUCAGCUGUUGGAGCCUUCCAACCGAAAUUUGCCUGUUAAGAGAUACUGCUUUCCUCCUCGAUGGGGUGGUUGAACAGUGGAACAGGUUGCUCAGAGCACUGUGGAAUCCUAUGGAGAUUUUCAGAAGCUGACUGGACAUAGGCCUGAGCAACCUGCUUGUGCAGGAGGGUUGGCCUAGAACAUCUCCAGAGGUCCCUGCCAACCUCAGCUAUUCUAUGAGUCUACAAAGUAGUAAUACAAAGUAUUGUUGAUUCCUGAAGGAUCUGAAGUGCUUUUGGCUUUUUUAGGACUGAUACGCACUAAUAAGAGGUGUUUGUAAAACAGUAAAUAGCUGUAAAAAAAAAAAAAGUUAUUUUCAAAGCAACAAAAAGUAAUAAAAAAGAAACUUUAUGAAGAUAAUGUUUUUGAAAAUAGGUGAACAAUUCCUCAGUAGUUAAUAAACAGGAAAACUUGCACUGAAAAUUUUUACUUGUAGGUGAACAUUUCUUACAAUUUUUUUUAGGCCACAUUUUCAACAACAGGUUUUGCAUGUGUUUGAGAUCUUACAUUUCUCUAAAGAAGGUCAAACACAGUUUGAUAUCAGAGGGUUAACUUCUAAUUAGAAAUUCUGCAAGAUCAAAAAGUGCCAUUAUGAGGGGACUUGAGUAUCCUGAGGGAAGUGUGAAGUCAGGCUCCAAACCCUCCCUCUCCUCCAGGCAGGAACCAGGUGAGGAACAGCCCUUCUUCACCUGCUUCCCAGCCCUGCUAGUUCCCAGCAGUGACAUUCCCAUCAAUGGCAGAUGCCAGGGCUUAAGGGAUGGUGGUUUCCAACUGCCAUGCCCAAGGGGAAGGCUGAUCUGACUCCAAAAGAGACUUGUCCAAGCUCUGUUCCCUAUGUCCUGUAGGAGAAACAUCAUGUGUUUACAAAAAAUGAAGUCAGCCUGUUCUUAGAGAUAAAUAAUUUCUGAAGGGAUUUUGUUGCCUUGCCCUGGAAGCAAGGAUCACAAAUAAUACUGUGAUCUUCCAGGAGACACCACAGGAUGUAUUUUCAACCAUGCACCCUGCCUUGCCACCCACCUGCAUUGGGACAGCAAAACCACACUCACGUAUAUCCCUCUGCAAUCCUGGGAAGCCAGGGGAGCCACAACAAGCCCAUUAUUGUGCUAAUAAAUAGGGUCAAUGUCAGUUUUGAAGCUUACGCUUUUAACUCAGCAGCUCUGGCACCCUCCUGCACAAAGGAAACAUCUCAGUUGUUCACAUGGCUGUGCUCAUCAGCAGGAAAUAAAUAAAUCUGUGCUUAGCAUCAUUUCUCCUUAGGGUAAACUUUGCCACUGAAGUUUUCAAAUUAGAGCUGAAGAAAAAUAUUUUGAAGGUUUUCUGGCUGUGCUGACUCCAGCACUCCACAUAUCUCUCCCAGCAGAUUACAGGGGACUUUUGGACUUAAUCUCUUCUGGUAUUCAUGUGACAAAUCAAUAUUCAUUAAGCUCUAUGUUCUUACUUUAGAUUAGGUAUCAUUAAACACUGCAGUGUGGAGGGGAUUUGGGGAGACAGUACUGAUGACUUUCUUAAAGGCUGGCAAAAAGGAAAAAAAGCCAUUAAAUAGAGUAUUACUUUAUCAUGGAAGAAUAAGUGCUUCCAUGAAGGAAUUAGUGCAGCAAGAGCAGGCUGGGAUGUGCCAGAAGUGAAGCAGUGUCUAUAUUUUUUACAGGUGUGAUAAUUAUCAGAGUCUUGGAUUAUUUGGCCAGCUCUCAAAACAACUCAAAGAGACAGCAGCCUCAUUUCAGUGGUACUGAACUGUGCUGGCUCUGAGGUGUCUUCCCUCCUUUCUGUUACGAAGAUUUCACCUUGCUCAUUUUAAAAAGCAUUGCACUGAAAUUUGUACUGCAGCUUGUAUAUUUUGAGGACUUCCAUAUAUAUUUACAUAAAGCAAAAGUAAUUCCAGUGUGGAAUUGGAGAAAGGUUGUCUGCUAUAAGGAAUCUCACAUGUUUUAUCUGUUGCAAAAAUAAAAUGAAUCCAUGAUGGCAGACACUCCUGGUGUCAAAUCGUGUCUUCUAGGCUGUUUAAAGGAUAGCUGGAUCUUUUUGUGUGUAAAAAUGCCGUUUUGAGCACUGGAAGAAUAUCCUUUAAUUACCACAGAGAUGUAAAAAAUUAAUUUGUAUAUACAUUUGUAUAAAAAAUACUUUAGGAUUGGAAAAGAGACAAUAUAUCUGUUUGCAAUCUCUGCAACAGACUGAAAAAUCAAACAAUACAUCUCAAAGAAUAAAAACAGCAACUGUUUUAAAUGUGUAUUUUCAUACUUCUAGGGUGUUCUGCUGUUGUCAGUACUUUUCAUGACAAACAGUGCUCUGAGCACACAUACAAGUUUGCUUUGCAAGCACUCUGCGAACUUCAGACUUAAAACAGAAAAACUCUUUCAAGUAGAGUGUGUGGAAACCUGCGUGCCUGGUAGCUUUGUGGGAGAAACAGGUUCUGUUGGGGGUUUGUUCAGUCAAUACAAUGUUUUCCUUCUUGGGCAUGCUAAAGAAAGGAGCAUCAUAUCAGGCUAUGUUGAUAAAGAAGCUUAUGUUCUUCAAAGCCCUAAGGGGGAUAGAAAGUCUAAACAUUUAGAUCUGCUGAAAAAUUCCUGCAUUCAGCUUUUUGAUCAUUCAUAUUUAGACACUUUUUUUAGGAAUUACUUUGUUUUCCUAUUUUCUGAGAGGAAACGUCACCCAGAUUGUAUUGAACAUUUUUUUGUUUCUCUUUGUUUGAUUCUCUAUGGCCUUAUCAAUAAUCCUGAUGAAUAUGUGACCCUGAUCUGCAUCUGCUCCCUCAGAGAAGAGGCACAGCUCCCUUUGCCUCUGUUAACAAGCAGUGCCCCUUGUUUGGCCUGGCACCCCCGUUUCCUCUUACUCGGUGUCUUUGCCCAGCAAGUGCCCCCCUGGAGUUUCCUCACCUCUUGUGACGUUCCCUUGGCCUCCCCUUGGUCACAAUUCCAACACUCCUCUGCCCACUUCCAAACCUGCCAUGUUUUAUCCUUGCUUUCUCUCUGUCCUUCAUCCGUCCCUUCCCCCUUCUGCGCUGUCCUCCCUUUCCCACACCAGCUGGGAUUCAUUCUGGCCCUGACCGUUUGUAGCCAUUUAAACAAAUGGGUUUUUUCCCCUGUCAAAUGCUAAUGCGGAACUUUAUCACCUACUAAAAUAAACUUCCAAAAUCAGAAGCUUAAUGUCAAGACCUGUCUUUACCAUUAAUUAUAUAUUUUGUGUCUCAUGUGAAAAAUGAGGGCUAGAGCAUGCAUUUCUAUUCCCAGAUUUAACCAA
Long non-coding RNA from Poecile atricapillus (Black-capped chickadee), 3567 nucleotides. RefSeq lists it as uncharacterized. The transcript is spliced from 3 exons. The record is from RefSeq and is a predicted model, not a curated record. NCBI's taxonomy places the organism in Eukaryota, Metazoa, Chordata, Aves, Passeriformes, Paridae.